CCUACGGGGAGCAGCAGUGGGGAAUAUUGCACAAUGGGGGAAACCCUGAUGCAGCAACGCCGCGUGAAGGAAGACGGUUUUCGGAUUGUAAACUUCUGUUCUUAGUGAAGAAUAAUGACGGUAGCUAAGGAGCAAGCCACGGCUAACUACGUGCCAGCAGCCGCGGUAAUACGUAGGUGGCAAGCGUUGUCCGGAAUUACUGGGUGGAAAGGGAGCGCAGGCGGGAAGCCAAGUCAGCUGUGAAAACUACGGGCUUAACUUGUAGACUGCAGGUGAAACUUGUUUUCUUGAGUGAAGUAGAGGUUAGGGGAAGUCCGAGUGGAGCGGGGAAAUGCGUUGAUAUUCGGAGGAACACCGGUGGCGAAGGCGGCCAACUGGGCUUUAACUGACGCUGAGGCUUGAAAGUGUGGGGAGCAAACAGGAUUAGAUACCCUGGUAGUC
RNAcentral lists this ribosomal RNA (441 nucleotides) under uncultured bacterium. RNAcentral describes it as "partial 16S ribosomal RNA". It matches the Rfam family "Bacterial small subunit ribosomal RNA", at positions 338 to 795 of the family's 1533-position model. The record is from RNAcentral.